CCCGAAUAAGAAGGUCCGGCUAACUUCGUGCCAGCAGCCGCGGUAAUACGAAGGGACCUAGCGUAGUUCGGAAUUACUGGGCUUAAAGAGUUCGUAGGUGGUUGAAAAAGUUGGUGGUGAAAUCCCAGAGCUUAACUCUGGAACUGCCAUCAAAACUUUUCAGCUAGAGUUUGAUAGAGGAAAGCAGAAUUUCUAGUGUAGAGGUGAAAUUCGUAGAUAUUAGAAAGAAUACCAAUUGCGAAGGCAGCUUUCUGGAUCAAUACUGACACUGAGGAACGAAAGCAUGGGUAGCGAAGAGGAUUAGAUACCCUCGUAGUCCAUGCCGUAAACGAUGUGUGUUAGACGUUGGAAAUUUAUUUUCAGUGUCGCAGCGAAAGCGAUAAACACACCGCCUGGGGAGUACGACCGCAAGGUUAAAACUCAAAUGAAUUGACGGGGACCCGCACAAGUAGUGGAGCAUGUGGUUUAAUUCGAAGAUACGCGCAGAACCUUACCAACACUUGACAUGUUCGUCGCGACUUUAAGAGAUUAAAGUUUUCGGUUCGGCCGGACGAAACACAGGUGCUGCAUGGCUGUCGUCAGCUCGUGUCGUGAGAUGUUGGGUUAAGUCCCGCAACGAGCGCAACCCUCACUUUUAGUUGCCAUCAUUUAGUUGGGCACUCUGAAAGAACUGCCAGUGAUAAGCUGGAGGAAGGUGGGGAUGACGUCAAGUCCUCAUGGCCCUUACGUGUUGGGCUACACACGUGCUACAAUGGUAUCUACAACAGGAAGCAAGACGGCGACGUUAAGCAAAUCCUUAAAAGAUACCUCAGUUCGGAUUGCACUCUGCAACUCGAGUGCAUGAAGCUGGAAUUACUAGUAAUCGUGGAUCAGCGUGC
Molecule: ribosomal RNA, 878 nt
Filed under: marine metagenome
Description: bacterial SSU rRNA
Rfam family: Bacterial small subunit ribosomal RNA
Source: RNAcentral